RNAcentral lists this ribosomal RNA (1098 nucleotides) under Triticum aestivum (bread wheat). Its description in RNAcentral is "partial small subunit ribosomal RNA". The record is from RNAcentral. Lineage: Eukaryota; Viridiplantae; Streptophyta; Magnoliopsida; Poales; Poaceae.
AUGGCCAACGUUGUCCUCAAUUUCAACGCGUUCCUAGAGAAAACCAAGCUGAAAGAUGAUGGUAGCAACUAUACAGACUGGGUCCGGAACCUGAGGCUCAUCCUCAUAGUAGCCAAGAAAGAUUAUGUCUUAGAAGCACCGCUAGGUGAUGCACCAAUCCCACAGAACCAAGACGUUAUGAACGCUUGGCAAUCACGUGCUGAUGAUUACUCCCUCAUUCGGUGCGGCAUGCUUUACAGCUUAGAACCGGGUCUCCAAAAGCGUUUUGAGAAACAUAGAGCAUAUGAGAUGUUCGAGGAGCUGAAACUGGGUUUUCAAGCUCAUGCCCGGGUCGAGAGAUAUGAUGUCUCUGACAAGUUCUUCAGCUGUAAAAUGGAGGAGAACAGUUCUGUUAGUGAGCACAUACUCAGAAUGUCUGGGUUGCACAACCGCUUGUCUCAGCUGGGAGUUAAUCUCCCGGAUGACGCGGUCAUUGACAGAAUCCUCCAGUCGCUUCCAUCAAGCUACAAGAGCUUUGUGAUGAACUACAAUAUGCAGGGGAUGGAGAGGACCAUUCCGGAGGUAUAUUCAAUGCUGAAAUCAGCGGAAGGGGAGAUCAGAAAAGAACAUCAAGUGUUGAUGGUGAAUAAAACCACCAAGUUCAAGAAGGGCAAGGGUAAGAAGAACUUCAAGAAGGACGGCAAGGGAGUUGCCGCGCCCGGUAAACCAGUUGCUGGGAAGAAGUCAAAGAAUGGACCCAAGCCCGGGAAUGAGUGCUUUUAUUGCAAGGGAAGUGGUCACUGGAAGCGGAACUGCCCCAAAUAUUUAGCGGACAAGAAGAAGGCCGGCAACACCCAAGGUAUAUGUGAUAUACAAGUAAUUGAUGUGUACCUUACCAGUACUCGUAGUAGCUCCUGGGUAUUUGAUACCGGUGCGGUUGCUCAUAUUUGUAACUCAAAGCAGGAACUACGGAAUAAACGGAGACUGGCAAAGGACGAGGUGACGAUGCGCGUCGGGAAUGGUUCCAAGAUCGAUGUGAUCGCCGUCGGCACGCUACCUCUGCAUCUACCCACGGGAUUAGUUUUAAACCUCAAUAAUUGUUAUUUAGUGCCAGCUUUG